Long non-coding RNA from Sinocyclocheilus rhinocerous, 203 nucleotides. RefSeq lists it as uncharacterized. NCBI's taxonomy places the organism in Eukaryota, Metazoa, Chordata, Actinopteri, Cypriniformes, Cyprinidae. The transcript is spliced from 4 exons. The record is from RefSeq and is a predicted model, not a curated record.
GUACGUGAAGGGGGGAUUCUGACUUAGAGGCGUUCAGUCAUAAUCCCACAGAUGGUAGCUUUGCACCAGUGGCUCCUCAGCCAAGCACACGCACCAAAUGUCUGAAUCUCUUGUACGGAGAAGGAUUUUUAUUGCAAUGACGGUACAUCAGUAGGGUAAAACUAUCCUGUCUCACGACAGUCUAACGUAAUCAUGCCAGUACG